UUCGAUUCUGGCUCAGAGCGAACGCUGGCGGCAGGCUUAAUACAUGCAAGUCGAGCGGGCGUAGCAAUACGUCAGCGGCAGACGGGUGAGUAACGCGUGGGAACGUGCCCUUUGGUUCGGAACAACACAGGGAAACUUGUGCUAAUACCGGAUAAGCCCUUACGGGGAAAGAUUUAUCGCCGAAGGAUCGGCCCGCGUCUGAUUAGCUAGUUGGUGAGGUAAUGGCUCACCAAGGCGACGAUCAGUAGCUGGUCUGAGAGGAUGAUCAGCCACACUGGGACUGAGACACGGCCCAGACUCCUACGGGAGGCAGCAGUAGGGAAUAUUGGACAAUGGGGGCAACCCUGAUCCCAGCCAUGCCGCGUGAGUGAUGAAGGCCUUAGGGUUGUAAAGCUCUUUUGUGCGGGAAGAUAAUGACGGUACCGCAAGAAUAAGCCCCGGCUAACUUCGUGCCAGCCGCGGC
This 463-nucleotide ribosomal RNA is filed under the name uncultured bacterium. Its description in RNAcentral is "bacterial SSU rRNA". It matches the Rfam family "Bacterial small subunit ribosomal RNA", at positions 12 to 518 of the family's 1533-position model. The record is from RNAcentral.